This 253-nucleotide ribosomal RNA is filed under the name uncultured bacterium. Its description in RNAcentral is "partial 16S ribosomal RNA". It matches the Rfam family "Bacterial small subunit ribosomal RNA", at positions 524 to 776 of the family's 1533-position model. The record is from RNAcentral.
GACGUAGGGCGCGAGCGUUGUCCGGAUUUAUUGGGCGUAAAGAGCUCGUAGGCGGCUUGUCGCGUCGACUGUGAAAACUGGAGGCUCAACCUCCAGCCUGCAGUGGGUACGGGCAGACUAGAGUGCGGUAGGGGAGAUUGGAAUUCCUGGUGUAGCGGUGGAAUGCGCAGAUAUCAGGAGGAACACCGGUGGCGAAGGCGGCACUCUGGGCCGGUACUGACGCUGAGGAGCGAAAGCGUGGGGAGCGAACAGG